This 404-nucleotide ribosomal RNA is filed under the name Fusobacteriota bacterium. RNAcentral's name for it is "Fusobacteria bacterium partial 16S ribosomal RNA". It matches the Rfam family "Bacterial small subunit ribosomal RNA", at positions 355 to 776 of the family's 1533-position model. The record is from RNAcentral. Lineage: Bacteria; Fusobacteriati; Fusobacteriota.
UGGGGAAUAUUGCACAAUGGAGGGAACUCUGAUGCAGCGACGCCGCGUGAGUGAUGAAGGAAUUCGUUUCGUAAAACUCUGUUCUAUGGGAAGAAAAGGACUGUACCAUAGGAGAAAGCUCCGGCUAAAUACGUGCCAGCAGCCGCGGUAAUACGUAUGGAGCGAGCGUUGUCCGGAAUUAUUGGGCGUAAAGGGUGCGCAGGCGGCUUUACAAGUUGGAUGUGAAAUAUUGUGGCUCAACCACAAACGUGCAUCCAAAACUGCAAAGCUUGAGUUAAGGAGAGGUAAGUAGAAUUCCUGGUGUAGCGGUGGAAUGCGUAGAUAUCAGGAGGAAUACCGGUGGCGAAGGCGACUUACUGGACUUAAACUGACGCUCAGGCACGAAAGCGUGGGGAGAAAACAGG